UCCACGCUCUGAACUCGUUGUUAAUUCCAGUAAUAAAACGAGAUGAGAACGCUGGCUGGGUAAUUAGCGAGGAGGCUGGGGAAGAAAUUGCUGUUUGAUGGUGGGUAAUAAAGGCAGCCGUGGUGACCGCUCUCCUGAGCAGCCGCUGCCACCGCCACCACCACGCUCCCUGUUCUGCUGACGGAGGGAAACGCUGUUGCUCUGAGCCUGAGGUCCCUGUCCCUGCUGCUGCUCCAGGCUCCAUCACUAGAGUGUCCUCCAGGCCCAGGCUCCAUGGCUCAGCUCUGGACCUGGAGCUGGCUGGGCCUCGGACCUGGAGUCAGGUGCUGAGGGUGUUGGCCUGCCCGGCGCAGAGUGUCUGUGGGGGGCAGUUAGGUGCUGAGGUUGGGCAGUCUCUUCCCCUGAAGCCAGUUUCUGGCUCCUUGGCCCUGAACCGAGCACCUCUGUGCUGCUCUUGUUCUUGGCAUAGGGUCAGCUGCUGCCACGUCC
Molecule: long non-coding RNA, 489 nt
Filed under: Marmota monax (woodchuck)
Lineage: Eukaryota; Metazoa; Chordata; Mammalia; Rodentia; Sciuridae
Source: RNAcentral